Molecule: long non-coding RNA, 741 nt
Filed under: Mus caroli (Ryukyu mouse)
Lineage: Eukaryota; Metazoa; Chordata; Mammalia; Rodentia; Muridae
Description: lncRNA (MGP_CAROLIEiJ_G0006516.1)
Source: RNAcentral
GACAGCUAAUCCAGGAGGGAGGCUGGAGGGAGAUGAAGACGUCGAGUCUAGAUAUGAAUUAGUUCAGUCCCAUGGAGUCCUUGAGCCAGGCUGAGGGAAAGCAGCGCAAGUUCAGGGCUAUGACUUCAACCUGAGACCAAAAGGAGGACUACAUAUGGAAAGUGCUCAGAACACCACCUCCGGACACAGCAAGAAGUCCCGGAUUUCUACCCUGCAACCCCCUACCUCUGGAAUGUUAGAAGGUCUGUGCAUUUGAUCCCAGUACCUUCUGUACCAAAAGCUCCAUCUUAGGUCCUAGUCCAUAAGGAAGUACUUUAAUCAGGAAGCAAGUGCUUCCGGGUCACCGCCAUCCCUAAGGGGUCACUAUGACAACUUCUGGCCAAUCCGAGUUCUGCAUUGCCCUGGCCUCCAGGGACCUGGUGCCAGAUUGGUCAAAAGACCCAAAGAUCCUUGAAUCUGUGGGGGGAAAGAGGCUCUCUGGUCAGGAAGACUUCUCAAGCCAGGAAUGUACAGCUCUUUGCUAGCCUAGCUGUGGGUAAAAAGCAGAUACACUGAGGUUGGAGAGAGGGCUGAGUCAGGUAUUUAGUGGACUUGCGUUUGGUUCCCAACAACCAAUGGCAGUUUAAACCAUCUAUAAAUAACUCCAGUUCCCAGGACCUGUCGCUCUCUUCUGGCCUCUGUGGGCACCAGGCACAAGUAUGGGGUGUAGCUGAAACACACACACAUAUAAAAUAAAAAUAA